GCCCCCGUAGCUCAAUUGGUUAGAUCAUCCGACUCUUAACUUCAGAGUCAGAUCGGAAGGUUGUGGGUUCGAGUCCCACCGAGGGCU
Molecule: transfer RNA, 87 nt
Organism: Kwoniella mangroviensis CBS 10435
Lineage: Eukaryota; Fungi; Basidiomycota; Tremellomycetes; Tremellales; Cryptococcaceae
Rfam family: tRNA
About the family: Transfer RNA (tRNA) molecules are approximately 80 nucleotides in length.
Source: Rfam